RNAcentral lists this ribosomal RNA (433 nucleotides) under uncultured bacterium. RNAcentral's name for it is "partial 16S ribosomal RNA". It matches the Rfam family "Bacterial small subunit ribosomal RNA", at positions 29 to 507 of the family's 1533-position model. The record is from RNAcentral.
AACGAACGCUGGCGGCAUGCCUAACACAUGCAAGUCGAACGAGAACUUCGGGUCUAGUGGCGCACGGGUGCGUAACGCGUGGGAACCUGCCCUUAGGUUCGGAAUAACUCCCCGAAAGGGGUGCUAAUACCGGAUAAUGUCUUCGGACCAAAGAUUUAUCGCCUUUGGAUGGGCCCGCGUUGGAUUAGCUAGUUGGUAGGGUAAAAGCCUACCAAGGCGACGAUCCAUAGCUGGUCUGAGAGGAUGAUCAGCCACACUGGGACUGAGACACGGCCCAGACUCCUACGGGAGGCAGCAGUGGGGAAUAGUGGACAAUGGGCGAAAGCCUGAUCCAGCAAGGCCGCGUGAGUGAUGAAGGCCUUAGGGUUGUAAAGCGCUUUUACCCGGGAUGAUAAUGACAGUACCGGGAGAAUAAGCUCCGGCUAACUCCGUG